RNAcentral lists this long non-coding RNA (2623 nucleotides) under Homo sapiens (human). Its description in RNAcentral is "long non-coding RNA NONHSAT097612.2". The record is from RNAcentral. Lineage: Eukaryota; Metazoa; Chordata; Mammalia; Primates; Hominidae.
CUAAGUUUUCAAGCACCAAGAAUAGGAAGCGCCAUGACAUCUGCUGGAGCGUCUCUCCGCAAUUCGGACCCCCAAAAAAACUCCUUCUUAAGCAGCAAAAAAAUAAAAUAAUAAAGGCGCCUUAAGUCACUCUCCUCCACCCCUAAUUUGCACCGAUUCCACUGAAGCACUCAGGAUAACACCUCACUUGCCACAAGUGUUCUCCGUUUCCUAGCUUUAAACUUCAUUUCUUCAAGAAGUAUAUCUGCGUUCUCCAUCCCCCCAUGGAAGAAGUGAUCCAAGAGGUAUUUUCAGAAUUAUGCUUCCUUCCCACCCCCACGCUUUCCUCUUGGCCCGAGCCUUCCUUUUCUCCUACCACCCCAUGCCCUUGUCCCCGCGGGUUACCUUAUUAAUCCGUUUCAGCGCCAUAGUGUGUGCUUGUCGUCUGGCUCCUCACUCUCUCGGUGUAUGCUCAAAGGUCCGGCCAAAACUCUUGAUUAUCCCGGCGGCGGGGCAGGAUUGUCUCGUCUCACACCAGCUCUGCCAGACACAGGCGCCUUUUGCAAAAACGGAGCAGAUCAGCACUCGCACAGGCCCCGAAGAGCCCCUGAUGAAUCCAGGUCCCUUAAGACAGCCGCGAUCCGGGGUGGGUGGGGUGGCGUGGCAAAGCCACCAACAGCCUCUGUACCGUGCUUUCGGCCCGAAGUGGGGGCGAGGGUGACGGGAAGAGCGGAGGUGGUGGCUACAAGUUUAACUUCCCGGCCUCUAGAAAGGAAGAGACCCGGGUGGGAGAGGAAGAGGCGUAGGAGAAAGGGGUGGGUGCGGGGCAGGGUCCGGAGCCCAGCAGAGGAGGAGCCGGGGCCUAGUCGGCGCUAUACCGGCGUCACUAGGGCAAAGAAAGGCAAGGGGGGAGGGGGAAGCAUAAGACUCCGGACGGACGCCGGGCUGCUUUCGGUUUCUGUCCAAAGGUGCGGCCGGGAAAAGGAAGGAAAUAAAGGAAGGGAGACUUGAUGUGUAUUGCUAUCCUCGCAGCGAGCUAUUCUGUGUCACCCCUGACGCCACCGUACACUCACUCCGCCUUCCAGCGCGCUCCCGCGCGCGCCCGCCCAGCCACCUCCACCACGCGCCCGCGCUGUCCCUGAGGCUCCGGCUUAGGCGCGAGGACGCGCCCAUUCCCCCUCCUCCUCCAGCAGGAGAGGCCGCGGCUUCCCCAACCUUCCCACCCUAACCCACCGCACCCAAUAGGCUGGCCGCUCAAGCCGCCCAGGUCCCGCACUGCCCCUCUUACCCGGCCGGCCACUGGGCCGGCCUCCCUUCCCUGCCCUAGCCGUCCACACCCACGCGUACAGAGGGGCCGGGGCCUCCCUCAAGCUGCGGCCUCGGCCUCCUCCCCGCGCGGCAGCUGGUGCCUCCCCGGCCCUACGGGGCUCACGCGCACGACACAGCCACAAGAUGUCCGCUCUGACGGAACUACUGCCAGCUGCCACGCUCCGCCCCUCCCCCUCCUCCUGCCUCUUCACCGCCGCGGAUCAGUCCGCCAACGCCGCCGUCCCGAGCACAAGACCGAUGUGAGGCCGAAGCCAGACGGCUUGCUUCCCACGUCCGGGGCCGAGUGAAUACGUGUCAAGCCCUUUUCCUUCUUCUCGGAACAGCACCUUCUUACUAAACAGAUCGGAGAUUGGACCAGGAGGGCGGGGGAGGGAGGAGGAUCAUGAGCUGGGGGGAGGGUGAACGAGUGGCGGAAACCCUUAGGCUCAGAGAAGCAUCGAGAACCGGAAGGAGACCAUGGGAGGAAGGUAAAGGAAGCAGCCGCUGCGCGAUCCAGCCCCACGCCCCUCCCCACAGCGUCCCCCAGUUUCCUCACUUGGUAUCGAGGAGACGACUCUCGCGAGAACUUCGUGGCUGGCUAACCGAAGCGGUAGCUCUGCAAUGACUUAAGAGCAGUUUUGUGCGCUUUUCCUGACGGGGUUCCGCCUCCAAAAUGCAUAAGUUCUCGCGAGACGCAGUAAGGCACCGGCUCGAACUGGGGCGGGCCACUGCCAGGAAAGCAACGCCCCUGAAUGCUUAUGCCGGUGGUUGGUAGAGGAAAUGGAAUUCCCCAGACUGUACCUCUUGACUUGCUACUGGUACCUGGAAGAGAUGUAACACCUGACCAUGGGACAUCAAGUGACUGUGUGAAUCAAACUGCCCAUCAUGAAUUGUUGUUAUUUGACUCAUCAAACUGUACAACUGGAUGAACACAGGAGCAGUGCACUACAUAUGGGACUGGAACCAUGAAUGAGCAGGUGACUCAGACUCCUAUAGUACCUGCCUCUACUCCUUCAGCACUUCUCCCUCAACCCACAUAAACUGUCAUCAUAAUGAGUUCCCUCUGACCAGUUAAUGGAAGAGAAAAAAGUAUGGAUGUUAUGGAUAUCCUAACAUAUUUCUGGCCAUUGGACCCCUAGAAACCUGUGGCAAGUCCUGGAAGUUUUUCAAGGUUCAUCUUGCACCUUCUAGCAUGCAUAUGUCGUACCAAAGCAUGUAGAAUGCUGCCUACUUCUGCUCUUCAGUUUCAUUUAAUAUAAUUUCAUUACUCUGAUAAAUCAGUGUGAUGUUCUAUGGAAUAACAAAAGACCAUCAAGGUCCCUUCAUACCAUAUAGA